CGGGUGAGUAACGCGUGGGUAACCUGCCUUAUACAGGGGGAUAACAGUCAGAAAUGGCUGCUAAUACCGCAUAAGCGCACAGAGCUGCAUGGCUCAGUGUGAAAAACUCCGGUGGUAUAAGAUGGACCCGCGUUGGAUUAGCUAGUUGGUGGGGUAACGGCCCACCAAGGCGACGAUCCAUAGCCGGCCUGAGAGGGUGAACGGCCACAUUGGGACUGAGACACGGCCCAGACUCCUACGGGAGGCAGCAUG
This 252-nucleotide ribosomal RNA is filed under the name uncultured bacterium. RNAcentral describes it as "partial 16S ribosomal RNA". It matches the Rfam family "Bacterial small subunit ribosomal RNA", at positions 103 to 353 of the family's 1533-position model. The record is from RNAcentral.